AAUAGAUACCCCGGUAGUCCACGCCGUAAACGAUGAGUGCUAAGUGUUAGAGGGUUUCCGCCCUUUAGUGCUGCAGCUAACGCAUUAAGCACUCCGCCUGGGGAGUACGGUCGCAAGACUGAAACUCAAAGGAAUUGACGGGGGCCCGCACAAGCGGUGGAGCAUGUGGUUUAAUUCGAAGCAACGCGAAGAACCUUACCAGGUCUUGACAUCCUCUGACAACUCUAGAGAUAGAGCGUUCCCCUUCGGGGGACAGAGUGACAGGUGGUGCAUGGUUGUCGUCAGCUCGUGUCGUGAGAUGUUGGGUUAAGUCCCGCAACGAGCGCAACCCUUGAUCUUAGUUGCCAGCAUUUAGUUGGGCACUCUAAGGUGACUGCCAGUGACAAACCGGAGGAAGGUGGGGAUGACGUCAAAUCAUCAUGCCCCUUAUGACCUGGGCUACACACGUGCUACAAUGGAUGGUACAAAGGGCUGCAAGACCGCGAGGUCAAGCCAAUCCCAUAAAACCAUUCUCAGUUCGGAUUGUAGG
RNAcentral lists this ribosomal RNA (529 nucleotides) under uncultured bacterium. RNAcentral describes it as "bacterial SSU rRNA". It matches the Rfam family "Bacterial small subunit ribosomal RNA", at positions 777 to 1304 of the family's 1533-position model. The record is from RNAcentral.